RNAcentral lists this ribosomal RNA (496 nucleotides) under uncultured bacterium. RNAcentral describes it as "partial 16S ribosomal RNA". It matches the Rfam family "Bacterial small subunit ribosomal RNA", at positions 28 to 507 of the family's 1533-position model. The record is from RNAcentral.
GAUGAACGCUGGCGGCGUGCCUAAUACAUGCAAGUCGAGCGAACGGACGAGAAGCUUGCUUCUCUGAUGUUAGCGGCGGACGGGUGAGUAACACGUGGAUAACCUACCUAUAAGACUGGGAUAACUUCGGGAAACCGUAGCUAAUACCGGAUAUUUUUUUGACCCGCAGGGUUAAAAAUUAAAGAACGGUCUGGCUGUAACUUAUGAUGGAACCGCGCUGCAUUAGCUAGUUGGUAAGGUAACGGCUUACCAAGGCAACGUUGCAUAGCCGACCUGAGAGGGUGAUCGGCCACACUGGAACUGAGGCACGGUCCAGACUCCUACGGGAGGCAGCAGUAGGGAAUCUUCCGCAAUGGGCGAAAGCCUGACGGAGCAACGCCGCGUGAGUGAUGAAGGUCUUCGGAUCGUAAAACUCUGUUAUUAGGGAAGAACAUAUGUGUAAGUAACUGUGCACAUCUUGACGGUACCUAAUCAGAAAGCCACGGCUAACUACGUG